Molecule: ribosomal RNA, 455 nt
Filed under: uncultured Bacteroidales bacterium
Lineage: Bacteria; Pseudomonadati; Bacteroidota; Bacteroidia; Bacteroidales
Description: bacterial SSU rRNA
Rfam family: Bacterial small subunit ribosomal RNA
Source: RNAcentral
GGGCCCGCACAAGCGGAGGAACAUGUGGUUUAAUUCGAUGAUACGCGGAGGAACCUUACCCGGGCUCGAACGGUAGUGGAAUGUGUGUGAAAGCAUACAGCUAGCAAUAGCCGCUGUCGAGGUGCUGCAUGGUUGUCGUCAGCUCGUGCCGUGAGGUGUCGGCUUAAGUGCCAUAACGAGCGCAACCCUUAUCUUUAGUUACCAUCAGGUUAAGCUGGGGACUCUAGAGAGACUGCCGCCGUAAGGUGAGAGGAAGGUGGGGAUGACGUCAAAUCAGCACCGGCCCUUACGUCCGGGGCUACACACGUGUUACAAUGGGUGGGACAGAGAGGAGCAAGUUAGCGAUAAUGCGCGAAUCUUCAAACCCGCUCUCAGUUCGGAUCGAAGUCUGCAACCCGACUUCGUGAAGCUGGAUUCGCUAGUAAUCGCGCAUCAGCCAUGGCGCGGUGAAUACG